RNAcentral lists this transfer RNA (31 nucleotides) under Phyllurus platurus. RNAcentral's name for it is "partial tRNA-Cys". The record is from RNAcentral. Lineage: Eukaryota; Metazoa; Chordata; Lepidosauria; Squamata; Carphodactylidae.
GGAUUGCAAACCCAAAAACGCCCCAAUCCGG